GUUUCUGUAGUGUAGUGGUUAUCACUCACGUUCGCCACGCGAAAGGUCCCCGGUUCGAGACCGGGCAGAAACA
Aptenodytes forsteri (emperor penguin) is the source of this 73-nucleotide non-coding RNA. The record is from the annotation of a RefSeq genome assembly. NCBI's taxonomy places the organism in Eukaryota, Metazoa, Chordata, Aves, Sphenisciformes, Spheniscidae.